UACGUAGGGUGCGAGCGUUAAUCGGAAUUACUGGGCGUAAAGCGUGCGCAGGCGGUUCCGCAUGUCGGGCGUGAAAUCCCCGGGCUUAACCUGGGAAUGGCGUCCGAAACUAUGGGACUGGAGUGUGGCAGAGGGAGGUGGAAUUCCACGUGUAGCGGUGAAAUGCGUAGAGAUGUGGAGGAACACCGAUGGCGAAGGCAGCCUCCUGGGCCAACACUGACGCUCAUGCACGAAAGCGUGGGGAGCAAACGGG
Molecule: ribosomal RNA, 253 nt
Filed under: uncultured bacterium
Lineage: Bacteria
Description: partial 16S ribosomal RNA
Rfam family: Bacterial small subunit ribosomal RNA
Source: RNAcentral